This 497-nucleotide ribosomal RNA is filed under the name uncultured bacterium. RNAcentral describes it as "partial 16S ribosomal RNA". It matches the Rfam family "Bacterial small subunit ribosomal RNA", at positions 28 to 507 of the family's 1533-position model. The record is from RNAcentral.
GAUGAACGCUGGCGGCGUGCCUAAUACAUGCAAGUCGAGCGAACGGACGAGAAGCUUGCUUUUCUGAUGUUAGCGGCGGACGGGUGAGUAACACGUGGAUAACCUACCUAUAAGACUGGGAUAACUUCGGGAAACCGGAGCUAAUACCGGAUAAUAUUUUGAACCGCAUGGUUCAAAAGUGAAAGACGGUCUUGCUGUCACUUAUAGAUGGAUCCGCGCUGCAUUAGCUAGUUGGUAAGGUAACGGCUUACCAAGGCAACGAUGCAUAGCCGACCUGAGAGAGUGAUCGGCCACACGGGAACUGGGACACGGUCCAGACUCCUACGGGAGGCAGCAGUAGGGAAUCUUCCGCAAAGGGCGAAAGCCUGACGGAGCAACGCCGCGUGAGUGAUGAAGGUCUUCGGAUCGUAAAACUCUGUUAUUAGGGAAGAACAUAUGUGUAAGUAACUGUGCACAUCUUGACGGUACCUAAUCAGAAAGCCACGGCUAACUACGUG